Long non-coding RNA from Meriones unguiculatus (Mongolian gerbil), 2658 nucleotides. RefSeq lists it as uncharacterized. The record is from RefSeq and is a predicted model, not a curated record. The transcript has 3 exons. NCBI's taxonomy places the organism in Eukaryota, Metazoa, Chordata, Mammalia, Rodentia, Muridae.
ACUAACUAGAAGGCAAGGACUCACCCUUUCCCUGUAUAAGUCUGUGAUCUUCCACCCAAAUGGAGGCCCUGGGAAUUCAGGCCUGAGGUCUCCCGUUGGGCCUGCAUUUUACAAGGGGUUUAGGCCACUGCAGUUCCAAGGAGUCAGAUUUCUGUGAGCCUGCACCAUUGCCAGGCACAUUACACUCUCACCAAUUAACACAGAGCAGCCAUAGCUCAAGUAACAGUUUUCCUCUGAUGCGGUCCAGGGUUUCCGCCAGCAGCGCUGUUUGUUUUAACUAAGGGAAAGCUAGGCUGCAGCUGAUGGCCUCCAUGGGCACACUGGCUGUCUUGCAGUUCUUCGCUCAGAGCCGAGCACUGGGAUUUGGACAAGCUGGCGUUUCCAGCCUAAUUACUCAAGUAAGGUACAAGACUACUUAAAAGGCUGACUCCUUCUUCAGUAUGGCUGCACAUAGAUCACCAAAUAUAAUUCCCAUACUCUUCAUAAAUAAUCCUCAUCAUCACCAAAUUCCUCCAGGGUAGGAAUUUGAAAUCGGCAUCAGAGGUGAAGAAAAAGACGCAGUGGAGACUUGGCCAUGGCACAGUGCCUCCACACCACAAAGAAAAAAAAAAAAGGAUGAAGAAGGAGAAAAGAAAAAAAAAGUGUUGGCCAAAUCAACGUAACUGAAGUACCCUGCAGGACUGUUGUGACACCUCCAAGGGCACUGAAAUUGACCAAUAAAGUUUCUUCGGCUAUGAUUUAUGCUUACCUAGAAUCUGGGUAGACAGAAUGCUUAUCUGGGCUGUACAGGUUUCUGCAUGGUCCAGGGCACAAACUGCUACAAACAGUCUAACUUCCAGGACCUACAAACACUUCACCCCAUCAGAGUCUAGGACAGAUUGGUCAAUGACCUUGUGCUGCCCAAAAUACUAGCACUGGAAAGAAUGCCAUGUACUCACACAGGUUAUGUUGUAGCAAAUAAACCCACUAAUUCUUGGGUCUUUUUUACCCAGUGAUUAGUUUUUAGUCAACAAGUAAUUUUCUGCUAUAUGUUGAUUUGCGGACCUAAGUUCUCCCAGCUACGGUUCUUCCACCUCUAGACCGUGGAAGUCCUGGCAGACAUAAACAGAAACAUGGGAAAAUCACCUUUGCUGCCUGAACCUGGGAAUGACUCACGUCACUUGCAAUCACAUUCUGUGGAUGACUAGUCACAUGGUCCCAGAUGGAUGCAAGAAGCGCUAGAGACUUAAUCCCUGGCCGAGUAGCCGCUUCCCGGAAACAGCGCCCUGUGGAAGAGAAACUGAUCACCACUGGUAACAGGGUUUUAUUGCUUUGCCCCGUGGAGAAGGAGGAGUCUCUAGUAAUGGAUUACCAAUAGAGCAACUUUCCUGCUAGCAUUCUUCACACUGGAAGGUCCCUGGUGGACAACUCGUAUUCCUCCUCAUUCCAGGGACCACACUACAUCGAGUCCCGGUUCCUCCAGUGCCAUUCAGUUUGCUGCUCUCUUCACAUCUCCCCUUCAUUGCCUGCUCCAACAUCAUCCUUCACAGAGCAGCUCCAGCUCAGGAGCUAGUUUCAUUACAGUCAACAGUUACUAGGGAGGCAGGGCUGGCUUCGCUUUAUCCAUGUGGUUGAUAAUGCAUAGCUGUUUCCUGCAGAAAGAACUUGGCAGGGAUGGCUUUUCCUGGAGAGGAGAGUUUGGGUUUUGGUUUGUUUUUGGCUGCCUCACUGUGUAGCCCAGGCUGGCCUCAAAUGCACAAUCUUCUUGCCUCACAAGUGCUAGUAUUACAAACAUGUGCCACCAAACCCUCUCUCCUAAAGAUUUCUUUAAGUAUUGCAAGCUUCGCGAACCUAUCAGUACACAGAACAUCUAAGAAGCUUCAUGGGUGUUAGUGAAAGAGCAUGUGCUAGAGUUAGCGUCCAUGCUGUUGGCUCUGUUCAGCAUGUACCCUCAGCAUUCCCACAGUGUUUCAGAAUCGCAGCAUCUUCGUAGAGUGGCACCACUAGGGCUCCAGAAGCCCACAGUUCUGCCAGCAGACUGAAGGAAAGAACAACUAUUAAGUGAAUGAGAAGAGCGGAAAUGAGUGAGUGAACACGGUGUCUUGACAGAGAACAACACACAUACAAAGCAAAAGUGGGCUUGAGAUGUAACUCAGGAGUAAAGGGCUUCCCUAGCAUGUGAGAAGCCCUGGGUUCAAUCCCCAGCACCUCAAAAGCAGAGGGGUUGGGGAGAGAAUGAAUAUUGUGGAACAAAAAAAAAGAAUACCACCAUUUUUUUAAAUCAGUAUAAUUAUAAUUAUGUAAAUAUAUGCAUCAGACUAGCAAGGAAUACAUGAAAAUGUUUAUUCUUUGGUCCAUGCAUUUAUAAAUAAUUAUUCAUUGUUUUAGUUGCUAUGUUUUCCAAGCCCUCGACAAAAAGAAUGUGAUGUUUGGGUCAGCAGUGGUUCAGAGAGUAAAAGUGUCUGCUGUGCAAACCUUACGACCUGAGUUCCAUCUCCAGAUCCCACAGUACCAGGACGAAACCUGCUCCUGAAAACUCCACUGAUGUGCUCUGGGACGUGCACGUGGAGGCCCUUAACAACUAAAAGCAAACAAACAAAACCAUUCAGACACAUGAGCACCCAUAGGCAUUUUUAAAAGGUUGUAAAAAUUUUCAAGAUUAAAGAGUUACAAUGACAA